This 411-nucleotide unclassified non-coding RNA is filed under the name Zea mays. RNAcentral describes it as "misc RNA Zm00001eb128350". Lineage: Eukaryota; Viridiplantae; Streptophyta; Magnoliopsida; Poales; Poaceae. The record is from RNAcentral.
AAGACAUGGUCUGCUCUUGUGUCUCCACUCUCGGUUGCGGUUGAUGAUGCACUUUUGGAAGCUACUAGUUCUAUUGUUGCUACUGAAGAUACUUUGGCUGGCUCUCCCCCGACAAUCUUAUGUCAAGACUCAAGAGGUUAUUCCAGUGGAUGUUGGAACUUGUUCGGAAGCUGCUAUUAUUUCUGAUGCUGUUGGAGAUGUCCUAGCUACCUACCCCCUGGCAUCUCCAUCCCGGAUUCCCAUGGUUGAAUCUGAAUUACAGGACGUUACUGUCUACUCCGGGGGAGUGGGCCUUCCCAUGGUUGAAUCUGAAUUGCAGAACCUUAUGUCGCCAAGUCUGUUAGUUUAUUCCAGGAAAAGACAUCAAAAGUUACAACUGAUUGACGGUAUUGAUGAGAAUGGCAGUGUCGG